AAACCUGCAGGGACACCGGCCCUCGUGGACUGAGAUUGGGGACCCCUGGCUUAGAGGAUGGAGGGAUCUCGUCUGGUCCUCUGGAUGUUGUAGUUUCAUUACAGUGGACCCACAUGAACGACAUCCACCGACACAACAUUAGGCACACUGCAUCAAAACAGACUCAGAUCUUUGCUUCACCUUAAUGUUUUCCAUCGAGGUUGAGACAGAGGAGGGAAUUUGUUUUUUGGGGAACUAUUCAUCCAAAUUUAUCUAACACAGUAAAAGAGACAAUAUGCUGCUAUAAAAAAUGCACCGGCCUGAAUCAGGAGUCACAAAACACAGUUUGAGCCUUGUAAUAAAGUCUGGACAGUGAUAACAUUUUCAAACAAAUGCAUUAGAAUAAAACAAUCACGAUCCAAAUUAAAUGCUAACUCUGAGUAGUUAAUACAUUUGUUAAGGGAGCAGGAGACUGAAACCCAAUGAAAGAGGCAGGAGGAGAAGAGCAGAGAGGAAUGCACAAACAAGCACACGGAGCAAAAACGAGACCACAUGGGACUGAUUACACAAUGAGACGCAGCUGGGAACCGAGCACAGCUGCAGACAAUCACACAGGAGGGAAGACAAAGAGAGGAAGGGAAAGCAGAGCAGGCAUGUGAGGAGAAGCAAUCGCUAAAAUAAAACAGGAAGAGGGACCCAGGACGGCAACAGCGGGUACAAACAGACAAGGACGCAGGAAAUACGAGAACAGGAGAAUCAAAACAAGAACCAUGAGAGUUUAACAGUAACACUGCAGUAACCACGAGGAGGAGUUUCAUGUGCACCGUCCUGUUUCCAAGAAGCAUUUCUUUACUAAUCAGCAGAGGGAAGAAGAGACCUCAAAUAAAGAAGUAAAGACAGUUACAGUAAAGUUACAGAUCACAUGUAUCACAUGACCCCGACCAUCAGUUUUGCAUCAAAUGAUUUGUUUGCAAACAACACGACAUGAAAGCAAAUUAAUUCACAUUAAGUUUACUCCAAAGCAUAUCCGCUUAUUUAAAGGGCUUAAACUUGACCUCGUAAAAGGGCCUCAGCUGCCUGACUGAGUGAGGUUUAAGUGUGAGUCCAGUU
Oreochromis niloticus (Nile tilapia) is the source of this 1089-nucleotide long non-coding RNA. RefSeq lists it as uncharacterized. The transcript is spliced from 3 exons. The record is from RefSeq and is a predicted model, not a curated record. Lineage: Eukaryota; Metazoa; Chordata; Actinopteri; Cichliformes; Cichlidae.